This is a long non-coding RNA of Erinaceus europaeus (western European hedgehog), 3685 nucleotides long. RefSeq lists it as uncharacterized. The record is from RefSeq and is a predicted model, not a curated record. The transcript is spliced from 4 exons. Lineage: Eukaryota; Metazoa; Chordata; Mammalia; Eulipotyphla; Erinaceidae.
ACUGCAGAUAGUACAGCUUCCACAGGAGCAAGGGAUGCCUGAGCACAAGUGGCCGAGUUCCCAGUGACUUUCCGAAGCACUUUCCCACCACCCUCCUGCAUGAAAUCAGGGAUUCUGCACCUGCAUAAGGGCUAGCUGGCCAAAGCCUCUCUGCUCUGCCUCCGAGGACAAGGGACCAGCACAAAUAACCGGUGGGAAAUUGGAUCUUGACAAAAUUACCAGCAAAUCCAUAAAGACCAGUGAAGGCAGUUUGAUUGAUUUCUUUGAUGACAGUUCCACAAAAGUUGAAGAAAUGCUGUGUCUCCAAAGAGGCAUGUAGUUUACCCUAAAACUGGGACACAAUUAAGAGGUUUGAGUGAAAUGCCAGUGAUGUACUUUGCCUUGCUAAGGAAUCCAUCCAAACAGAAGAGACAGCACUCAGCAAGCAGGGUUAUCGCUGUGGCUUGGUGCCUGCACUAGGAAUCCACUGUUCCUGGAGGCCAUUUUUCCUGGUCUGUUGCACUUGUUGUUGUGCUUGUUGUAGUUAUUACUGUUAUUAUUGUCAUAGCUGUUGUUGUUGGAUAGAACAGAGAGAAAUGGAUAGAGGAGGGGAGACAGAGAGCGGGAGAGAAAGAGAGACAUCUGCAGAAGUGAUUCCCUGCAGGUGGGGAGCUGGGGGCUGGAGCCUGGAUCCUUAUGCUGGCCCUUGUGCUUUGCACCAUGUGUGGUUAACCCGCUGCGCUACCGCCCAGGCUCCCCUAUGCUCUAUUUUUCUUUGGUCUUCUUUGACAUUUUGGAUUGUUGAUUUAUUUUCAAUUAAACAUGUUACUGUCUACAUAUACUUAUUUAUAUAUUUUUGGUGCACUGGACCAAGAAAAACUCCCAAGUGUGUAUUAGAACAGGAACUUUGACUAGAGUAACUGUAUAUAUGCAAAAAGGAAACCUUAAAAGCGCUAAUGAGUGCACAUGGGUAUGUUAUAACAUUAGGACAUGGCUUUCUUUAAUUACUCCAACAUUUUUACUAUUUGCAGCAUUUGUAAAAGUACUGUUUGUGUGUAUGUAUCAAUUCCAUUUAUAAAUAGCUAUUUGGGUAGUUUUGUGAAAUGAGUGUUUUGCUAAGUCAAUCAGUCAGUUAUUCUCUACAAAUCCAUUAGCUAGAAGAGGGAGGAGAGUCAGAAACCAUUUUGGCUAUUCUAAUACAGGUGGAAUGAAUUUAUUUUAAACUCAGGAAAUCAAGAUUAAGAUCAGAGGAUUCAGUCAAAGCAAAAAUGACUAAUUUUACUCCCCUGCCCACAUUCUAUUAAAAUUACUAUUAGAGAUAUUAACAUACAUUCCUCAAAUGGACAAUUGUAAUUAGAAUUUGACAGGCAGAAAAACAUACGAAAGCAUUAGCUAGAAAAUGUCUAGGGUAUAAGAGACACGUGACAUAAAGCUGUAUGUACAGUUCAUUUCUCAGUGUGCAGCUCAGUGGCAUCAAAAGCAUUCAUACUGUUGUACAGCGAUCCCUACCAUCUAGCUUCAGAACCUUUUCUGUCUUUCUAACCUGAAACUCUACCCCAUGAGCCGCAGUAACCACUUGCUGUCACUAUAAAGUAGACCACUUUAGGUAGCUCAUGUGAGUAUAAUCACAUGGUAUUGGCCUUUGGGGACUGAUUUUUUUUUUUUUUUGUCUGUUUUGUAGAGCAAGAGCCUAACACAUGAACGAUUUUACAACUCUGAGGCCCAAUUUUUUAUUCAGAUAGAGAGACACAGAAAGGGAGAGACACCACAGCACCAGGGCUUUCCCUAGUGUUGUAGCACUCCCAUGUGGCAUUGGGGCCUGAAUGUGGAUUAUUUGCAUAGCAAGCAACACACCCUAUCCAAUGAACUAAUUCUGCAUCUGACUUAUUUUAAUAAACAUGACUUCCAGUUUCAUCCAUAUUCUAAUAUAAUGCCCCCUCUUUAAGUCAAGUGAUAUAUAUAUAUUACAUAUCUAUAUAUUACAUUUUAUAAAUCCAUUCAUCCUCUGAUGACAAGCAAAUGGCUUUCUUUUUUUUUUUUUUUUUCCUCUUUUUUCUCUUGGUCCUGAUGGAACUGGAGUUCAAAGCCCUCUGGUCCUUUAGCACUUUUCCCCAUCUUGGGAGCAUGAACCAAAGUUCUUUGUGGGUUGCAGAAGGUGGAAGUUCUGGCUUCUGUUAUGGCUUUUCUAAUGGGCAUUGGCAGGCAGAUCCAUUCCUCCAGCAUAUUUCUGUCUUUUCCUAGUGUGGUAGAGCUGUGGGAAUGGGGCUCUAAGGCACAUUGGUGAGUUGGUUUUCCCAGAGGUCAGGAUGGAAUCAUAGUGGCAUUUACAAUUUGGUGGCUCAGAAAUGCAACCUCCACAAACUUGAAUCUCUGUCUUUAAGGCUUAGAGGUGGAGCAGAGGGGGGAAUGGGGGGGGAAGCCUCAUAUAUGUCUGUAUUUUCCUUCAUUUUUUUUUUCUUAAGUCUUCCUGUACAUGUAUGCUACAGGUUUCUUUUGUGUCUUUUUUUGCAUCUCUAUUUCUAAAACUCCUUGUAUUCUCCAUGAUCUUCUUUCUGGACAAAUAGAUCCAGAUCUGAAUAUAUUUCCUGAGGAGAAAUUCCCUAGUCUUGGCUCUGCCUCUGGCUUUUUUUUUUAUUAUUAAUUUUAUUUCUGAUAGAGAUGCAGAGAGAGAGAGUCAUACACAGAGAGAGAAACACCAGAGCAGAUGUUCUAAUCAUUGUAGUGGUAACAUGGUUUGAUUUAGUCCCAAUAUAUUGGUUUAUAAGUAAAUUUAUCAAAUUAAAUCACUUUGACUUUUUUUUUUUUUUACCAGAGCACUACUUAGCUCUGGCUUAUGGUGGUGCUGGGGAUUGAACCUGGGAUUUGGAGCCUCAGGCAUGAGAGUCUCUUUGCAUAACCAUUAUGCUAUCUACCCCUGUCCUCACUUUAACUUAAAUACUUAAAUUUCAAAGUGACUAUAAUAGAAUUUUCUAAUAAGGUCAAAGUCCAGAGUACCUGUGUGUGUGUGUGUGUGUGUGUGUGUUUAACCAAUUAUCUUUUAUUUCUUGUUAACUUUCUGUUGAGAAAUGAAUUUCUACUAACUUAGUAGAUUUUAUAAGCUAUCCUAUAACAAAUGUUAAUGCUAUACUAACCUGUGUUGAAAGUGUAUGCAUUAGCCUUGUGAAUUAUAAGCCACUCAGGAUCAGGGGGACAAACACAUUCUCCACCUAGAAGUGAAGGGCACAGGGGAGUCCGGUGGUAGCACAGUGGGAUAAGCGCAAGGACCACAUGAGGAUCCCAGUUUGAGCCCUAGGCUCCCCACCUACAGGGGGCUUCCCACCUACAGUGAAACAGGUCUGCAGGUGUCUAUCUUUCUCUCUCCCUCUGUCUUCCCCUCCUCUCUCCAUUCCUCUCUGUCCCAUCCAACAACAAUGACAUCAAUAGCAACAACAAUAAUAACUACAACAAUUAAAAAAAAAGUGAAGAGCACACUUGGGUCAUCCAACAAGUGCGUCACUAAGAAAUGUAAUACACGCAAUGGCUGGUGAAUCACAGUCAUAAAGGAAGCUUUCUGCACAGAUGGCUCCUGCAAAGCCUUACAGGAAUGGGGAGGAGAAGGGAAGGAAGGGACCCUGAAUUUGGCUCUUUAGAACAUAUGAAUACAAGAAGAACAAAAACAAACAAAACAUUAUAAAUGGCGAGCGGUGCUCUGGGGUGUGUGUGUGUG